GACGAACGCUGGCGGCGUGCCUAAUACAUGCAAGUAGAACGCUGAAGGAGGAGCUUGCUCUUCUGGACGAGUUGCGAACGGGUGAGUAACGCGUAGGUAACCUGCCUGGUAGUGGGGGAUAACUAUUGGAAACGAUAGCUAAUACCGCAUAAUAACAGUUGUUGCAUGACAACUGUUUGAAAGGUGCAAUUGCAUCACUACCAGAUGGACCUGCGUUGUAUUAGCUAGUUGGUGGGGUAACGGCUCACCAAGGCGACGAUACAUAGCCGACCUGAGAGGGUGAUCGGCCACACUGGGACUGAGACACGGCCCAGACUCCUACGGGAGGCAGCAGUAGGGAAUCUUCGGCAAUGGACGAAAGUCUGACCGAGCAACGCCGCGUGAGCGAAGAAGGUUUUCGGAUCGUAAAGCUCUGUUGUAAGAGAAGAACGAGUGUGAGAGUGGAAAG
Molecule: ribosomal RNA, 448 nt
Filed under: Streptococcus sp. oral taxon C56
Lineage: Bacteria; Bacillati; Bacillota; Bacilli; Lactobacillales; Streptococcaceae
Description: bacterial SSU rRNA
Rfam family: Bacterial small subunit ribosomal RNA
Source: RNAcentral